AUACGUAGGUGGCAAGCGUUGUCCGGAUUUAUUGGGCGUAAAGCGAGCGCAGGCGGUUUUUUUAAGUCUGAUGUGAAAGCCUUCGGCUCAACCGAAGAAGUGCAUCGGAAACUGGGAAACUUGAGUGCAGAAGAGGACAGUGGAACUCCAUGUGUAGCGGUGAAAUGCGUAGAUAUAUGGAAGAACACCAGUGGCGAAGGCCGGCUGCCUGGUCUGUAACUGACGCUGAGGGCUCGAAAGUAUGGGUAGC
Molecule: ribosomal RNA, 250 nt
Filed under: uncultured bacterium
Lineage: Bacteria
Description: partial 16S ribosomal RNA
Rfam family: Bacterial small subunit ribosomal RNA
Source: RNAcentral